GUACGGGAGGCAGCAGUGGGGAAUUUUGCGCAAUGGGCGAAAGCCUGACGCAGCAACGCCGCGUGGAGGAUGAAGGCCUUCGGGUCGUAAACUCCUGUCGAUGGGGACGAAAGCCUAGCAAUAGGUUUGACUGUACCCGUUGAGGAAGCCACGGCUAACUCCGUGCCAGCAGCCGCGGUAAUACGGAGGUGGCAAGCGUUGUUCGGAAUUACUGGGCGUAAAGGGCGCGUAGGCGGCAAGACAAGUCGGAUGUGAAAGCCCCGGGCUCAACUCGGGAAUUGCAUCCGAAACUGUUUAGCUUGAGUUCUGGAGGGGGUAGUGGAAUUCCCAGUGUAGCGGUGAAAUGCGUAGAUAUUGGGAGGAACACCUGCGGCGAAGGCGGCUACCUGGACAGAAACUGACGCUGAGGCGCGAAAGCUAGGGGAGCGAACGGGAUUAGAUACCCCUGUAGUCCC
This 455-nucleotide ribosomal RNA is filed under the name uncultured bacterium. RNAcentral describes it as "bacterial SSU rRNA". It matches the Rfam family "Bacterial small subunit ribosomal RNA", at positions 339 to 797 of the family's 1533-position model. The record is from RNAcentral.